AUACAGAGGGUGCGAGCGUUAAUCGGAAUUACUGGGCGUAAAGCGCGCGUAGGCGGCUUAUUAAGUCAGAUGUGAAAUCCCCGGGCUCAACCUGGGAACUGCAUCUGAUACUGGUAAGCUAGAGUUUUGGAGAGGGAAGUAGAAUUUCAGGUGUAGCGGUGAAAUGCAUAGAGAUCUGAAGGAAUACCAGUGGCGAAGGCGACCUCCUGGCCAAAAACUGACGCUGAGGUGCGAAAGCGUGGGUAGCGAACGGGAUUAGAAACCCUAGUAGUCC
RNAcentral lists this ribosomal RNA (274 nucleotides) under uncultured bacterium. Its description in RNAcentral is "partial 16S ribosomal RNA". It matches the Rfam family "Bacterial small subunit ribosomal RNA", at positions 523 to 796 of the family's 1533-position model. The record is from RNAcentral.